Molecule: small RNA, 438 nt
Filed under: Malus domestica (apple)
Lineage: Eukaryota; Viridiplantae; Streptophyta; Magnoliopsida; Rosales; Rosaceae
Source: RNAcentral
AAGAAAAGAGCCUGUGAGAUUAGCCAAGGAGACUGCCUGGAUUCCAAACAUGAAUAUAAAUUUUAGACAGACAAUUAAAUAAUGCCAUAUAUUCUUUCAUGAAAUCGGAGGCGGGCAAGUCAUCCUUGGCUACCAAACAACGCUCUUUUCUUCAUGUAAGGCCUCCAGCUUCCUGCGCAUAGCUACUACAUCAAAUUCGAUAUCCCAUCAACGUCGACCUUGCGAUCUGUCACGUACAAUGCACAAUGCUGAAGCUGAAUAAGAAGAAAGAAGGGUAUAGCAUGAGAAGAAGAGGCUGUCAAGUUAGCCAAAGGAGACCUGCCUGGUGCCUGCUGCUGGGAAACCCAACAACGUAGGACUCCUCUUGGAUUGGAUUGGAUUAGAAUUAGGAGAGGCAGCAGGCAAGUCAUCCUUGGCUACCAAACAACGCUCUUCUCU